ACAAACUUGGUCAUUUAGAGGAAGUAAAAGUCGUAACAAGGUCUCCGUUGGUGAACCAGCGGAGGGAUCAUUACUGAGUUUACAAACUCCCAAACCCUAUGUGAACCUUAUACCAUACGUUGCUUCGGCGGGAACGCCCCGGCUCCCCGAGCCCGGAUCAGGCGCCCGCCGGGGAUCCACCAACUCUUGUUUUCUACAGUAUUCUCUGAGUGGCAAACGCAUAAUAAAUCAAAACUUUUAACAACGGAUCUCUUGGCUCUGGCAUCGAUGAAGAACGCAGC
This 281-nucleotide unclassified non-coding RNA is filed under the name uncultured fungus. RNAcentral describes it as "partial contains small subunit ribosomal RNA, internal transcribed spacer 1, and 5.8S ribosomal RNA". The stretch from base 1 to 73 matches the Rfam family "Eukaryotic small subunit ribosomal RNA", at positions 1759 to 1831 of the family's 1831-position model. Lineage: Eukaryota; Fungi. The record is from RNAcentral.